Molecule: RNA transcript, 3972 nt
Organism: Syngnathus typhle (broad-nosed pipefish)
Lineage: Eukaryota; Metazoa; Chordata; Actinopteri; Syngnathiformes; Syngnathidae
Gene: lg20h6orf47
Gene name: linkage group 20 C6orf47 homolog
Exons: 3
Source: RefSeq, a predicted model, not a curated record
CGGCCGGCCGGCCUGCCCCACCCGCCCCCUUUUGUUCUCGUUUAUGAUAAACCUUCUCUUGACUGGCAAUCGUGGUCCACCUGCAAUAGGCCGUAUCUAAACCAAAAGAGAUUUGAUUCCAAAUGAUGGUUUUGAUAGCAACUUGGUGACUUGCCUGGCUCAAUUCAAGCGAACUGCCACUCUACGAGCAUAGCAGGAACGUGGAUGAAGAUACACGGAGUGAAGGAGGGCUCGAAACUCUGGACAAGUUGGACAAGCUUGCCGCCGCCGCCGUCGUCCAAAAACGUUGACGCCAAAUGGGCGCAUCUUCUAUUGACUUCCGCAUUUGACCAACCUGCACAGCAAGUGGGCUUCCAACAUAUGAACACGAUCGAUCGUGAGAAGUCCUACAUGGUUUGGGAGCCACUUAAGGCUGUACAUCAUCUGCACGCUUUUGUCCAACUUGUCCGUUUGAGCAAGUGGACAAACAGUUUGGGUCGAAAGGAGCUGAGAAGUUUGUCCGUUUGCUGCAAAAAGUUCCUCCAUCAACCAUGACAGCUGUGGUCGGAAGAGCAUGGGGAUGGCUGCGUUCCUGGGGUAGGGGUGCAGCGUCAGACAAAACUAGGUCGGAUCAAGAUGAGCUCAACAAGCGCUCUGGUUCUGGCUCCGGCUCGAAAGAGCCCAAUUGUCCAGGAGACGACGAGUACUGGGAAGCUCAGGAGAAACCUAUGGAAAUUGAAGAUGCGCGUGCAGGAAAACAAGAGAUGGAGGCAACAGUUGAACCUGUUCCAAGAUGGUGGAAUACGUUUCUUCCAAAGUCUUUUCUUCCGUGGGGAAGGAAAACACAGCCGAGCGGACCGAAGCAGAAUUUGCGUCACAUCAAGAGCGGCGAGCGGGAUAUCGACGGGGGGGACUUUUCAGACUACGGAACUCCUCCUCCGUCCCCGACUCCCCCCGGUUCUGGGCUAGCGUCGCCCUUUCGUCUCUUUGCGCACAGCUGGAAUGUGGAACUGUUUCCUGAGCAUUAUGAGAUCUGCUUCAACUUCCUGCGCCACCUGUUUGACCUGUUUGCGGUGGGCUUCCUGUGGAUUGUGUCGCCUCCCGUCAAGCUGAUCUUGGAAAUUUUGGGCAUCCAGGGACCACUGAGGCUUUGGCUCCAUGGCAUGGCCAUGUUUUUUGUCUCCACAGUGGGAAUGGCUGGACUCCUGUGGCUCAUCCAGGAGCAUCUCCCAGAGUUUGCUUUGAUCUACGGUAUCGUGCAAGCUUUGGUGAUCUCCGUCAGCUUGAAAAAGAGCGUGCUUCUCGGAUUGGAAGAUGAACAGCCGCGAGUGGAAGAGGAGAGCACGGAAGCUGAGAGGAGCGACGGAGAGCAGAAAGAAUUGCUUUGUGCAAGUGACAAAAAGAAGACGAGCUAAACCUCUUGGUACGUACGGAAAGUCGUCAGUUGGCAGGCUCUUCUACAGUAAUACGGCCGCUGGCUCACACCACAUUGCUUAUCUCCAUGUAAACAUGCCUCAGGCUGCUGCUGUCAAUUUGCGUCGAUGAUAUGAAGGUCUUCCCAAUCCGUGACCGAAUGACAAAAUGGCCACCUCUCCACAAUGGCUAUCUCAGUAUCACGUCGCUUGGUUUACCAUUGAAAAUCGAGUGUGAAAGCAACUCCAACCACUGAGAAAAAAAAGACACACAGAUCCAAAUGCUGUGCCAAUUUACAACGGCGGCUGUUGCACCCAGUGGAACAGAUGACAAUUUUGUCUCGCCAAAUAAUUGGAUGAAAAAAAGCGCCAUUUGAAUAGGUGGUGGGUGAAAUGGAUGGAGCUGAUAGCAGAACAUCAGAAUGAUAUCACAGUCGCAAGAGCGGCCGGCCCGGCCGGCUGGCGCAUUUUCUUCCAGCACCCUCUUGGCGCAUUUAUGACAGAUCAAGUCACUUUGGACACUUCUUGUGAGCUAAAAGUUGGACCAUCUACCACUUAAGUUGAAUGUUCUUGAAAUGUUCUUUCAGCCAAAGAUUUGUGGGACACUUUCCCCAUCUACUUUUCGAAUUUCGCUUUCAUGCGUUGCAAUGAGCCCCUCCCUCCCUCCCUGUGUGUUAGGAGAUCAAAUGCGCAAGAGGCAGCAAAGUAAGAGCCACGAAACUUGGCCCAAGCAACUUAUUGGGAUGUGAAAGAUGCCAAGGUUUCUUACAUGACCUGCAACUAGGAAAUGAAAGGUACAAUUAGCAAACUACACUUGACCAUGUAUUGACUUUUUGUGUUUUUCAAAUGGACCCACCCCAACAUUUGGUGUCGUUCGCCUGGAAGGUCAACGUGCCGCUAACGAAGCGCUUCUCCUUCAAUGUGAAAACGGAAAACAAAUGGCGCUACUGUUUCACUUUUGCUUGUCUUUUUCAUUUGGCCAUGCACUUCUAAAUGUGGCAUUGUUUAGGAGAGAAAAGACAAGCACGUCACAGUUGAAAACUUUAAUUGACAUUCAGUUGGCUUUCAGUACGCCCAAUUGCAUUUACAGAAAUGUGCAUUCGCACACCCAUGUAGCGUACAUAUUGUAUCGCUUUUGCAUGUACACAAAAUGUUGCAAUAAAAUAAGUGUGUGAGCCACAAAACAGAUUCAGUGUGAUAUUCAGUGAAGUGAACUCUCUCAAACGAGAUCACAAAGCUUGGGCCAACAUUCAUGCCGCCGCCGCCACCUCUCGUCUUCCUUCCUUCCUUCCUUCCUUCCUUCCUUCCUUCCUUCCUUCCUUCCUUCCUUCCUUCCUUCCUUCCUUCCUUCCUUCCUUCCUUCCUUCCUUCCUUCCUUCCUUCCUUCCUUCCUUCCUUCCUUCCUUCCUUCCUUCCUUCCUUCCUUCCUUCCUUCCUUCCUUCUCCUGUCUGACAAACAGGAAUGAAAAGCAUCCCAAAUCCCAACAUAGCACAGCAGAAAGAAUGAGCACUAUCACCCUUUAUCUGUGGAAUGAUGAUAUUUUUGGUUUGUAAACAUGCAGCAGAACUUAAUGCAUUUUGAGGUCAUUAUUACCAAACGCGUUGAGUAAACGAGCAGUUAUUCACGCCAAUAUUAUCGAUCGCUUCUCACAUGGCAGUCUGCCAAAGAUCUGCUGCAAAAUGUCAUAUGUUGGACUAUAUGUCCAAAGGAAAAGCACAUGCUAAUGAACAUCCAGAGAUACCAACACCACCAGUUCAUUAAAGCUAACACUCAAAAACGACGCCACGAGUAGAUUUGAAAUAACAUUUCUGUUCAUGUCUCAAUGGAAAAGUCAUUUGGAUGGCAUUGCACAAAACCAUACAGAGGAGUGUUGUCCUUUCAAACGACAUCGUUGGGAAUGAAUGACUCAACCGUUUCUCCACUCCACAUUGUGUCACUGCACGUAGAUCAACAAUCAAUUCAUUCCACACAAAAAUAGACCCACCUGCCAGUAGUGAUGUUGCAUACCGAGAUUUAGUAGUGAGUUUGCUGAGAUAAGCACCGCUGUGCGUGGUGUCAAUUCAUCCAUCCAUCCGUGCGUGCCUCCAUCCAUCCAUCCAUCUUCAUAUUUCUAAUCUGCUUGUAAUCACUAUUUUAGAGUGCGGUCACAUGGCUUUGGAAUAUAGAGCAAGAAAACAAGCCAUUUCUGUUGUAUGAUCAAGCGCAAAAUACACCACAGGAUUGGAUUUUAUUGACCAUCUUCACACAGCAAGUCUUGAAAUGCAAAACGGCACGCUGCCUUCCAUACACAUGUGGAAGUCAUCAAAAUUCCUUGCAGUUUCUCCUUGGUGCUUAUGACAAAUCAAUACAGGUUAAAAGCGUCAAUAAUAAAUGUUUAUGGAGGUUGGUAGCUAGCAAGAAGGCUCUGACCAGAAAAUGGCUAAAUACCAUACGUACUGACUCGAAAUGACUGGUAAGAUGUGAUGUACAUUAAGGAGAGAAUCACACCUUAAGUGAGAUAUCAAAUCAAUAGCUUGAUUGAAAGGAAAUAUGUCCAAAUCAACAGAGUCAUGUGCCCCUAAUACUGUAAAGAUGGAAAAG